AGCUCCAAUAGCAUACAUUAAAGUUGUUGCAGUUAAGAAGCUCGUAGUUGGAUUUCUGGCAGGAGUGACCGGUCACACACUCUUUGUGUGAACUUGUGUUGUCUCUGGCCAUCCUUGGGGAGAUCCUGUUUGGCAUUAAGUUGUCGGGCAGGGGAUACUCAUCGUUUACUGUGAAAAAAUUGAGUGUUUAAAGCAGGCUUAUGCCGUUGAAUAUAUUAACAUUGAAUAAUGAGAUAGGACUUCGGAACUAUUUUGUUGGUUUGCGUUACGAAGUAAUGAUUAAUAUGGACAGUUGGGGGUAUUCGUAUUUCGUGGUCAGAGGUGAAAUUCUUGGAUUUCCGAAAGACGAACUACUGCGAAAGCAUUUACCAAGGAUGUUUUCA
Molecule: ribosomal RNA, 383 nt
Filed under: uncultured eukaryote
Lineage: Eukaryota
Description: SSU rRNA
Rfam family: Eukaryotic small subunit ribosomal RNA
Source: RNAcentral